Molecule: long non-coding RNA, 622 nt
Organism: Oreochromis aureus
Lineage: Eukaryota; Metazoa; Chordata; Actinopteri; Cichliformes; Cichlidae
Exons: 3
Source: RefSeq, a predicted model, not a curated record
UGGGACUGGUGAACGGCGACCUACCGAGCAACGGAACUGCAAUCAGGUUGAUGCAAUAACCGCCCUGGGCCAUAAAGGAAAAUGGUGAAGUACAAACUGCAGACUUAUGAAGACACAGAGAAGCUGGUGGAGGUGACAAAGAAAACAAAGAAGAGAGAAGGUGACGGACGGAAUGAGGGGAUGUCAGUUGAUGAUUAAAAUGAAGCUAAGGAACAGAAGUCGAGGGGGCAGAAGCCUUUGCCUGCGUGACAUAUGCUCUCAUGGCAGCCAGUGUCGCAGAAAUCGAUGCCGCCCCUCUGCCGCCAUGGAGCCCACCCUGCCAUCUGUCUCAUUAACCUGGCUUAGCAGCAUACAAAACUAGACCGUGUGCUCGUGGGCCUGUGUAUGAAAACAUAAAGGAGAGAUGCUAAAGAAGAAAAACAGCGGGGAAGACCAAAAAGCAAAAGGUUAAGGAAGAGAGAAAGCCUGGAAAAUGGGCACUCAUCCUGUGUGCACAAUUUAAGAUGAAGGUGAACUGUUUUGUGGGGUGGCCAACAUGAGGUUGUAGUUUGUGUCAGUGAUGCACAGUGAGGUUUAAUGGAGGAGGAGGAAGCAGGCAAGACAUCUCUGAGAGAGGUUAGGU